UUCGAGCGUCAUAAUGACCAAAUCACCCCCGUGGUGGACUUGGAGUUGGCCUGUACUGGCCUCUCUUAAAAUCAGUGGCGGUGCUCUGAAGCUCUACGCGUAGUAAUUUUUCUCGCGACAGGGUCUUGAUGGUACUUGCCAACAACCCCAACUAUUAUAAGGUUGACCUCGGAUCAGGUAGGGAUACCCGCUGAACUUAA
RNAcentral lists this unclassified non-coding RNA (200 nucleotides) under soil metagenome. RNAcentral describes it as "partial contains internal transcribed spacer 2 and large subunit ribosomal RNA". The record is from RNAcentral.